GAGACAUAAGAGGCUCCGAUUCUGGGAUGGGAAGAUCCUCUGGAGGAGGGCAGAGCUACCCACUGCAGCAUUCUUGCUUGGAGAAUCCCAUGGAUAGAGGAGCCUGGCGGGCCACGGUCCACAGGGUUGCACAGAAUUAGACACGACUGAAGCGACUUAGCAGGCACGCAUGCAAGAGAUCCCGUCACCUACCAGAGUGGAUGUGAGCAGCAGCGAGGGUGAAUUUAUGUAGACUUCCCAAGGAGGUAGGACUUGAAGCCUCUCUUAAAGGAUGAGGAGAAUAAGGAAGAAAACCGUGCAGGCAGAUGAAUAGCGUGAGCAAACCCGGGAAAGCAAGGCAUGGUCUGUGAGUUCAGAAACCACCAGUGUCAUUUCAGUAUGAGAUACAGAAGCAGAUGCUGGAGGGAGCAUGGGGCCGGAUGCAGUGGGACACCUGUUCCACCUUAAGGAGUUCUGGAUUCACCUGCAGGUCCUGGGAACCCAGCAAAAGACUCCGAGGUGUGGAAUGACACAGUCGGCUUAAUAUUUUGGAUAGAUCACCCCACUGGCUUUGCAAAAGAUGAAUUUGCGAGGGAAGAAUGCCCAAGACUGGCAAAGUGAUCGUGGAGCUGGUACGAUAUUCCCUGCCAGAGUGUAUCUGUCCUAGGAUAGGGCUGGUCAGGUGACAAAAUGUGAUAGCAUGAGAAACAGUAAUAAAGUGAAAAACUGAUGGGGUUUAGAGAUUUCUUUUCUAUGGGAGACUUAGAGGAUGGAGCAGUUAAUGAGGCUCCCACGUUUUGUUGCCUAGGAGAUACUGUCAACCUAGGGAAAAUACAGGGUGCAAAGAAGAUGAUGUCAGUGUGGGACCAGCGGAGUUUAACUGUAAUGGAGCCAAUACCCGGGUGGAGCUCAGGUGCAUCGAGAGUUAAGUGCCUGAAGAUUCUGUGCUGGGCAGGUCUGGGUCCACCUAUAAUGCAGGGCAUGUGGGUUCGAUCCCUGAGUCAGGAAGAUGCCCUGGAGAAGGAAAUGGCAAUCCACUCCAGUGUUCUUGCCUGGAAAAUUCCACAGACAGAGGAAUCUGGCGGGCUACAGUCCAUGGGGUCACGAAAGAGUGAGUCAGACACGACUUAGAGACUGAACAACAAAACUAUACAGGACCCCCAGGUCCUAGUGGGUUAAGAAGGAGAAGAAAUAUCAACCCCUCUGGUUUUCUUUGCUGGUACAGCAAAGAGCAGCAUGGUGCCCAGUGGGAUCUCCUGGCACAAGAUCAAGCUGUGUAGAGACUCAGAGCAAUCCCACCACCAGUGAGGGUGUUCCAGGCAGCAAUUAAAUCAUGAUCAUUCCCCUCCGCCACACACACACCUCCCCAACUUCCACCCCAAUCCCUGCUGUCUUCUAACUGUGGGAAGCCCAGAUUGGAUGACUAAGUGCCAGGGAGGCCAUGCCAACCCACAGUUCCAGAAGUGACAGGACCUUGGCCCCCCAGUGUCCAGUCUAGGAAAGAGGGGGAGGUCUCUGCUCAAUGGUGAAUUCAGGCACUGCGUCCACAGGGUGGUUUAAAAGAGGCUGGAAACGCUGUGCAGAGGAAGGAUGAACAAGGCAAAUAGAGUAGAGUAUCAUCCUCCACCGAGGUUUAAGAGGUCUGUGAUUUCCCCUUCAACUGUAAAACGUGGAAGCGUAGCCCUGUCUUGAAGGCCUUCUUCCCUUCCUGGCACACAAAUGUAAGAGGGCGGCCAGAGUGCUGGAAG
Bos taurus (domestic cattle) is the source of this 1727-nucleotide long non-coding RNA. The record is from Ensembl. Lineage: Eukaryota; Metazoa; Chordata; Mammalia; Artiodactyla; Bovidae.